GCAGAGCUCUUGUGUCCAUCUCCACCAUGGCCCACACUCCUCUCCUCCUCCACCACCUCCUCCUCGCACUCCUCGCUGUCUGCACAGGUUCCGUCAGUUCGUCUGCCCCGACUCAACCGCCCUCUGUGUCCGUGCCUCUGGGACAAACUGCCACACUCACCUGCUCCGGUGAAGGUAUCGGAAGCAAUGGCGCAAACUGGUAUCAGCAGAAACCCGGCCAGGUCCCUGUGCUGGUUAUAUACUAUAAUAACAACCGACCCUCCGGGAUCCCCGACCGGUUCUCCGGGUCCAAGUCCGGGAGCACGGCCACACUGACCAUCGCCAGGGCCCAGGCCGAGGACGAGGCUGAUUAUUACUGUCAGGAGGAUAGCAGUAGCAAUCCUCACAGUGACACAGGGUGA
Molecule: non-coding RNA, 401 nt
Organism: Tachyglossus aculeatus (Australian echidna)
Lineage: Eukaryota; Metazoa; Chordata; Mammalia; Monotremata; Tachyglossidae
Source: the annotation of a RefSeq genome assembly